UGUUUCAGGCAGAAGUUUCCGCCCCAGGCGGAAAAAGCUGUGUUUCAGGCGGAAAUCGCUGCAGAGUAUUUAAAGGGUCACGUUUUCUGUUUUUCAUAACAUGUCACCUUGUUUUUGUCCUGAUUUUAUGUAUUCUACUAGUCCUGAUAUUUCCCAUUCUGGUAUCGAGUUUUUGCCGCCGGUUACGACUGUGCCUUUUAGUUCUGUUGGUUUCGGACCCAGCUCGAAAUUUCCAUUUGCCACUAGUCCUGUACAAUAUCGAUAAAGGUUAGGUCACGAUAUGUUAGAGACUCGUGACCGUCCAAUUUAAAUAAAAAAGACGGUCACGAAUUGUUUGACAUCACGACUGUAUGCAAUCUGUGUCUGAAUCAAAAUUAUAUUGUGUUAUUGUUUUAGCCUUCCUUAAUCUUGAUGGAAAGAUGUUUAACUAGAAAGGAUUGAUUAAAUAUUACAUUUAUGAUACUAGUAUAUAUAUAUUUGCAAACAAGGCUUGCAAAUUAUAUUUAAGACACAAACAUAUAUAAGUGCAGAUAAUAAAUUUU
RNAcentral lists this long non-coding RNA (542 nucleotides) under Trifolium pratense (red clover). RNAcentral's name for it is "long non-coding RNA (TPRA_LNC006517)". The record is from RNAcentral. Lineage: Eukaryota; Viridiplantae; Streptophyta; Magnoliopsida; Fabales; Fabaceae.